CCCUUUUCAACCCGUAGCCCGUAUGGUUCAAUUUAAACCCGGAACAACCCAGCCCGUUAAAACCCUUUACUAUUCCGGCCCGGACCGGUAACCGGACGGGUCAAAUUUUUUUGACUCGAAACCGGCCCGGUCAGCUCGUUAGUCAAGCAUAGUGAAAAUAAUGGUCAUGGAUCUUUCGAAGCUCGACCUGGCAACCUUGCCGACAAACUCAAAUAAGCUCACAAAAAUCGAACGCCGAACUUAACAAAAGCUUCCCUCGAUUUACUCAAUUUUGAUUAGGAUCUGCCAGGUUUCGUGGAGGAAAAGCAAUUGGGUUUCAAGACUGUCCAUGGCUGAUUUUGUUGGGUAAAACAAAGCUAUUUUGCUGGGUAUAGAGUGCUGAUUUUGGGCAGCAACUAUGGUGGCUUCGGAGCUGCGUUUUUGUGGCUAGUUUUGGGUGGUUUGAGGUCGGCUUUUUGGAGGAAGAAGACAAGCAACAACUGCUGCAUUUCUGUCGCACAAAGCAGUUGUAUUUUUGUUGCUUCUUCGAACUGCUUUAGGAAUUGAAACUCAAGCUAUUUCAUGGUUGUUUUUUUCGAAUCUUGGAUAUGAAGCUUAGGGUGAUUUAAGAUUUUUUCAGAUCUGGAACAAGGUGUAUUGAGGGAGGACGAUUUUGGAGGCUUUCAAGGUAACGAAAAUGAUUUUUUAUAGAGGUGAAGCUGGUUCAUUCCUAUGGAGGAAAUGGAUGAGCUAUGCUUGUUCUUGAAAAAAUGUCGCCCCCCCUCCCCCUUCUUUAUUGGUG
RNAcentral lists this long non-coding RNA (781 nucleotides) under Nicotiana benthamiana. Its description in RNAcentral is "long non-coding RNA (NBEN_LNC039745)". Lineage: Eukaryota; Viridiplantae; Streptophyta; Magnoliopsida; Solanales; Solanaceae. The record is from RNAcentral.